ACUUAAAUAAUUUAAAUAAAAUAUUGAUUUGUGGAAUCAAAAAUGUAGUAUAAUUUACUUUAAGUU
RNAcentral lists this transfer RNA (66 nucleotides) under Albulina orbitula. RNAcentral describes it as "Agriades orbitulus tRNA-His". Lineage: Eukaryota; Metazoa; Arthropoda; Insecta; Lepidoptera; Lycaenidae. The record is from RNAcentral.